Brassica napus (rape) is the source of this 2137-nucleotide long non-coding RNA. RefSeq lists it as uncharacterized. Lineage: Eukaryota; Viridiplantae; Streptophyta; Magnoliopsida; Brassicales; Brassicaceae. The record is from RefSeq and is a predicted model, not a curated record. The transcript has 7 exons.
UUUAUAUGGACCAAUUUAUUUUUCUAAAAAUUCUAAAAAAGUAUUUUAGUGAUGACACGUAACUGCGAAAAUAUGUUAUAAAGCUGAAAAAUUAAUAUAUAGGGAUUAAAAUCCCUUCUAGAUAUACUCGUUUUCCCCACGGGUUUUUUCCACUACCAAGGUUAUUGAUAAAUGGAAUAAGACAUAUAUAUAUUUAUAUAUGGGAGGAGCUUCCCAUGACCUUUAUUUAAUUAAUAUUUUAAAAUUUUGAGCAUAUAUCUGAUUGAAUUUAGUGGUAGGGACCUCAAUAUAAAGUCCUUUAAUUUCUGCCAUCGGGAAAUUUAUUAGAGGUGUCAAGACAGAAUAGUGUACAAUUAGAUUAAAAGUAUAGCCUACGGAAUAUGAGUUAUCUAUCUAUCUAUCUAUUGUUAUAAAGUUACAUUUUUUCUCACUCAUAUCUCCAAAUUAUGACACGUGUCCCCUCUUAUUACCUGAAUUCAACGCUUCAGCAUUCUUUCUAUUUGUGGCUACUUACGUUGUUCGUCUGGUGGGCUCCUGCACUGAAAUUCCAGAGAUGGCCCAAUCUUAUUUUAUGGUUUGUAUCGGGUGAGACACGAGCUAUGCUCCUCCUCCCUGGCUCUCCGUCUUCUAGAAGAUUAAAAGAGAUCUCUAAACGUGGGCAGCCAUGGCAAACACCAAAGUCCAGUGGAUUAUGAUCCAGCUAAUUUGUUCAAGAGUUUCUGGUGUUCUCUUUGUGCUUAUGGACUCUUAUGUUGAUCUAGAGUACAAAAAAUACAGAGGUAAAAACUCUAGCAUUUUUCGUGGAUUUGGAUGUCAUUUGCAAAUAGAUCGAUCAUCAAUACUUGGAGAUGCAAUCUAUUAUCUCAACGAACUUUUACAAAGGAUCAAUGAUCUUCACAACGAACUUGAGUCAACUCCACUUGGAUCUUUGCCUCAAGCGUCAACAAGCUUCCAUCCAUUAGCACCUACACCUGAUACUCUUUCUUGCCGUGUGAAGAAAGAUUUAUGUCCCUCAUCUUAGCCAAGACCUAAAGGCCAACAAGCAAGAGUUGAUGUUAGACUAAGGGCAGGAAAAACAGUGAAAAUUCGUGUGAUUUGUUGUCAUAGACCCCUGGUCAUUUGCUAGCAAUCGUGAAAACCUGAAUAAUCUCACGGUGAUUAGCUGUUCAGCAAGCGGUGAUUAGCUGUUCAAACCGGUUUGCCACGCUGAGGUUUCUAAUCAUUGAAAAAAAUCCAAGCGCCAUUGAAGUCAAAUUGUCUUCUUGGAGGCUGCGAUCCUCGCCAUAGAGAGCCUUCUUACAGUGUAAAUGCUGUUCAACCCGUCGAGCAGAAGAUCCAGACCGCAAAUAUAACAAGGCCGUAAAGCCAUAUCAGUCUCCACCAUUUGUCAAGGAAUUUGUAUCUAGAAAGAGGAAAGAAGCCAGCAACAAAGGAAGAAGAAGAAUAAGAAUAAGAGAAGCUACCUAAGUUAACCAAAGAAAAAGAAGAGUUGAUUAAGAAAGAAGAGGAGAAGAGAAAACAAAAGUGUAAUGACCCACCACUCCCACCAUCUCCACUUCUUUCUCCAACCCCACCACUUCCAACUUCUUCUCCACCAUCUCCACCUUCUUCCCCACCACCUCCAUCUUCUUUAAAAUUAAGAAAGAGAGAGAGAGAGAGAGAGAGAGAGAGAGAGAGAGAGAGAGAGAGAGAGAAGAAGAAGAAGGGAGAAAGCUCACCUGAGCUCGUCGCCGGAGCCACCACACGCCAGGACGUCGUCAAGCUCGUCACCACCAUCAUCCGCAACCAAAGACCACCAUCGUGUUCCUCUUGUCGAGACGAAUCCAUAGCCACCAAAAACGCCUCAAUCGGAGUCCGGACGAAGCCGCACGCGCCUCCGGAAGUUUUGCCUCUGCCACCGCCGGACCACCGUCCCCUGCCGCCGGAAUAUCCGCCGUCGCCGCCGGUGACCGACACCGGUGACUCGCCGGCGACUCGGUUAACUCGGCCGAGUCAACUCAGUGAGUCAACUCGGUUGACUCGGUUAACCGAUCGGUUAGCCGGUUUAAAUUGAUUUCAAUUCGGUUAGGUUAAACCGGUCGGUUAAAAUCAAUUGGAAAUCGGUUAGGAAAAAUCGGAUUAAUUAAUUAAUUAAUUA